UCUACCCUAGAUCCAGCUCCAAUGUCACUGCAUCUUUGCUAUUUUCCCUGAUAAACACCAGACAUGACUCCUUCUCUCUCCAGACUCCUAAAGCACCUGGUUCAGCUUAGAUGCCAGCUGUCGCCUCAAGAUGGACUCUAUUCUCUUUUAGGCUAAGUCCACGUCCUGCGCAGAGCUGAGCUCUGCGUGACAGACUCUCAGGAAACGCUAAAUGAAGACAUGCUCAUCUCUUGCAGAGUCCAGUGCUCUAACUGUUCCUUGAGAAACAAAAACCUACACUAACUUAAUUGGGAAGAAAAAAAGUCUAUUUCGUAUCCUCUCUAGUCUCUUGCAAAGAAAGAGUCUAGUGACAGAAUUAGAAGUUCCUCCAAAAUUGAAGAGAAGAAGAAGGAGUGGGUCUGAGUUUAUUCUGGUUUCUUCAUUCACGUUGGGCACAUGGCCUGAUUUGUAAUAUGCCUGCUGGGAUCACCAAUGGAGCAACGUUUUUGUUUUAGGCGUAACUGUCAGAGAGAAUCUGCAGGAUCCUGAACAUCUGAUACUUCUGUGCUUUCAAGGAGAAGAUAGAAGCUCAAGAAACUGCAUAAUCUUCCACAGCCACACAGCACUGGAAUGAGAAUUCAGAUUCAGGACCGAUGCCCAAGCACAGGAGACCUUUCCCACACCCACCUGCUCCUACAAGUGGGAAAAGAGGUAAGAGGAGGCGGCAGGACUUCAACAGGGGACUUAGUCCGUGGAGACGAGAAGGAGGGAGCAGUGGCCAGAGAUUCAGAAAUGGAAUGGUUGAAAGAAUGGUGAGUAGAUGAUCUCUACUGAAAAGGACAGUCCCCUGAGGAGAAUAGCCAAGGCAAGGUUCACAGAAGGUUUGGAAUGGCAGAAAAAUCUGACUUAACUUCACCCUAAAGAUAACAGGAGAGAAGGAGGGUUUUAGAGAGUGAAAAGGAGUCAUUAAAUCUAUCUUUUAGCCCAACAAGAUGGCAGAUUAGAGUGUGGUGGGGGAAAUGAAGACAAAAAGGUCUGUAGGUCAAUGGUUGUCAAUCCACCACGCUUCAAGGAUCUCCAGGGGAAGAUGAAAAAGAAACAGUCCAACCACGUAGGUCCCAACCAGAGAUUCAACUGUCUGAGAUGGACAUUUUGAUAAACACAACUCAAGUGAUUCUAAUACCCAGAUGGAGGCGAGCGCCACUGAAUUAGGCUGCUAUAAAAAUACGGCUCUAUUGAUUUGGAGAUUUGGGGGAGGGGACAGCAGAUAGAACGGAAAAGAAGGGAGUGCUAUGAGAGGCCUUUUGAAGGUCUGCUGACCAACUUUUAAUUUCAUAUAAAAGAUUAAAUUCUCAACGCUGAAUUUGUAAAUUUUGGCUUUCAUGUUUGCCUCUUGCCCCCUUUUUCUUACUCUUCUGUGGCCCCCCUUUUUAAAGCAAACUUUUACAGGCAGAAAUGAAAGCUAUGAAGCUUUUCUUGGCUUCAAUUAGCAGUAAUUUUUGAUGGAUAAAGUAAUACAGAUCUGCAAAUUCUUCUCAGUCAGGAAGGAGACUUACACAGUGUUGGGGCCUGCUUAUCAAGAACCCCAAAUCCUCUAUGGCAUUGCUCCUUAAUUAGUGAUUUCAGCGUCAGUUACAGUUUUGAAAUAGACAAGGAGCUGCUUUGUGUAACUUCUCAAAAUCCAAACCCAGUGUGUUUACCUGGAAUAAAACCAUGUUCAAUGGAAACAAACCGAGUGACUUGAGAGUCACAUCCUUCUGCGUUUCAGGCUUUGAGAUCAGAUAUGGGGUCAUGGUGCUUCCAAGCACAUGAGGUGGGGAGAGAGUGACAAGGGAUGGAUUUUUUUCUCACUAGAUUAGAGCAGCAUCACUGCUUAUACCCUGGAUGAUAGCCAUUCAGAUAGUACCCAUUCAAAGUUUCCAGUGACUUUAGAGUAUGAUAUUAUGUGCUGAUAUUUCAUAAGUAUUUUACACAGUGAUCUAAUUUCUGACCAGUUUCAAAAGAAUGCGACCAAUUGCGCAACUUACAACAACUGUGACUUUCAUGCCUCCUGUCAAUAAAAACCUCAGACUUUUGGGAGACUGGUUUUUCCUUUUUUCCCCCCAAAGGGGUAUUAUGCCAGCAAAUAGAUCCGUUUUAGGUGUGUGUUUGGAGGUGGGGUAUAGGGAUAUUAAACAAAGGGAAAUUAUAUGUGUGUCUUUUGCACGGCAAGUAUUUGGAAAAACUUGAAACCUUUUAUUUAGGGAAGACCUGUGGUUAUUAAGAUUUCAUUCUUUUUUGGGAAUUUGCUGGUGGUCCAGUGGUUAGGGCUCUGAGUUUCCACUGCAGGGGGCACGGGUUCGAUCCCUGGUCAGGGAACUAAGAUCCUGCAUGCCACACAGCCAAAAAAAAAAAAAAAAAAAAGAAGUUUUCAUUCUUUGUUAUUUAACUGCUACCUAGUUAUUGGAAACAAACCAGCAUUUUCCAUCCAUAAAGCGGGAAGAGGAGGAAAACAAGGGGCCGGGGGCUUACCCAGUAAGGAAAACGCUCCUAAAGGCUAUCUACAUGUGUAAUCACCACUAUCAAAACGACCCCAAGUGCAAGGGGCUGCCUCCACAGAUGCCUCUGAUCGCUACAAGGCUGCCUUUGUUUGUAGGGAUUUUGCUUGGAAGUAACGUCAGUUCAUCCCUGAAAAUGAGGUCACUGUCCCCUAACACAUGUUAGGCAUGGUUAGCGUCUUUUCACUGGGACCUCUGCCAGGGAGGCCCCUGCUGUUGUACAUUUCAAACCUGCCAGGGCGUCUGCGCACAGUAGCCCCUCUGAAACUGAAAGGCAAAACAGCAUUCCUACCUUUAUCUUUAGGUAGAGGGGAAUGGGAAUCCUUUAAAAAAAUAAAUACAGUGCUGGCAGGCUUUUGUUUUUAUAAAGGCAGUGGGUUUUUUUUUUUUUUUUUUACAGAUUUACCUUGCCGUGCCGAUAAAUCCACUCUCAUCAAGUGUGUCUCUUACGAUCUGGUUUACAUCAAGAAGAAGACCCAGAAUACAGGCCCCUUAUGAUAUCUUUUCUCACCCAGAAUUCAGAGCCCUAAAAAUUCUCCUGGAGACUGAUUAGAAAUGAAAAUAAAUACAGAGAGGAAAGAUGUUUCUCAUAGAAAAGAAGAAGCACAUCAGUUAUCGGUGGUGGGCGAGUGGGUACUUCCAAUAUUCCUCAACGUAAGGUUGAUUCUAUUCAGCUGCAGCACAGGAUUUAUUUCAGUUUGUCUGAAAUUUUCUGAGAAUACAAAGUAGGAUUUAAAGAGCCAGUUUCACCUGCCUCCCAAGGGAUAGAAAACCGUAUGUGUCAGGGGAGGAGAGUUUUCUAUGUCUUCAUAACAUGAGGGCAAUACAGUAAUCUUUUGUCCUGAUUUGUACUAGCUUGGGGCCGAAUUUCAAAUCAUUUGGACUUAAAACUUUCAUUUAAAUAAAUUUCCUCACACAGUAGAAGCUGUACGUUCUCUUAGUGUGCUGCAGACACAGAUUAUGUCCUAACACUAUUAUGUGUUAGGUAGAAACCAUAAAUAAUGUUAGGAAAUUGAUAGAGUAGAAUGAUUUGACUAAAUGAUAGGUGAGUCCCCACUUUCCCUAAAAGCUCCCUGAUACUACAUGAUGUGAAAGCACUCUUACAGCUCAUGGUAAAUAAAUGGUUUAUUUCCUCAGUGAACAAAAAUGGAAAAGUGUUCAUGAAAGUUCUAUUGUAGCCAGAAUACUUCACACAAGUUGUGGAACGAGGUGUAGCUCUUUAUCCAAAAUACUUCUGAAGUUUUAAACGCAAACCAAAUGAACUCUUCAUUCCAUUCAAGGACAUUGUAGGACAGGGUGAGUCAGUCUUGACUCACAUCAGAGUGAAGGUAUACCACAGGGAUAUGUUACCUUAAGAUUUAAAAUAUUUAUCUUCGGUUAUUCUGAAACAAUAAACAUCCAAAUAAAUAAGUAAGCCUGGGAAAUAGCCACAGAUGGAAAAAUAAUUUCUGCAAAGUCUGUUUUGCAGGUAUAUUCAUUACCAGGCUUGUCUGAUAUCUCUGCUAUGUUUAGACAUGUUUCUGGUUAUCCCUUGGGACAAAGAAGCACUAGAGAAACGGUAACACAUUGUUUGGAAAAAAACAAGUCUAUCCGCAGCUCUCUCAGUGCUCAGCAGUUCAGAAUAUAGAACAGCCCUGGAGAAUUUUCUUUUUUUUUUUUUCCUGUAUUCAUUCACAAAGAUGGAACAUUACUAUGAGGAAGAUUUAGUCCUUUUGGAAAUUUUAAUCAUCUUAUUUCAGGGAAUUAUUUUCCCCAUUGACUUAAAACAAGAAUGCAAUGGAAGAUUGCAUAAAAUAGUUAGCUGUUCCUGUUGGUUUGUAACAUGUCCGU
This is a long non-coding RNA of Orcinus orca (killer whale), 4346 nucleotides long. RefSeq lists it as uncharacterized. The record is from RefSeq and is a predicted model, not a curated record. Lineage: Eukaryota; Metazoa; Chordata; Mammalia; Artiodactyla; Delphinidae. The transcript is spliced from 4 exons.